AGAAUCAACGCUGGCGGCGUGCCUAACACAUGCAAGUCGCACGAGAAAGGGUAGCAAUACCUGAGUAAAGUGGCGCACGGGUGAGUAACACGUGAAUAAUCUACCUCCGAGUGGGGAAUAACCUAGAGAAAUCUGGGCUAAUACCGCAUAACACUUACGAGUCAAAGCAGCAAUGCGCUUGGAGAGGAGUUCGCGGCAGAUUAGCUAGUUGGCGGGGUAAUGGCCCACCAAGGCGAUGAUCUGUAUCCGGCCUGAGAGGGCGCACGGACACACUGGAACUGAAACACGGUCCAGACUCCUACGGGAGGCAGCAGUGGGGAAUUUUGCGCAAUGGGGGAAACCCUGACGCAGCAACGCCGCGUGGAGGAUGAAAUCCCUUGGGAUGUAAACUCCUUUCGAUAGGGAAGAUAAUGACGGUACCUAUAGAAGAAGCCCGGCUAACUUCGUGCCAGCAGCCGC
Molecule: ribosomal RNA, 459 nt
Filed under: uncultured bacterium
Lineage: Bacteria
Description: SSU rRNA
Rfam family: Bacterial small subunit ribosomal RNA
Source: RNAcentral